AACGACGUACUCACCAAACCAAUAAUCCAAGAGUACCAACUGAUUCGAUUUCAACCAAUAAUAAAACCACAAAGCAGGAACAAAAUCGAUGAAUCCCCAAAGCUCGAUCCCAGCGACAGAAUACAAAAUUAGACAAACUCAAAAAACCCCAAUGCGUAGUAUCGAAAAUGAACCGCGAAAAAGACGAACCCAAAGCCUCAGAAAUGUAGCAGAAAGACUAAAAAAAAUGUGGCUUAAACUCCCUGAUGUGUGUGUAUUGAUGUAUGAAGAAAAGGGUAUGUCUAUUCAAUCAUGUUGCUGGGUGGAAAAUUUUGUGUAUGGGUGGGAAGGUCUUGUAUGCAUAUGGUUUCCCCUUAUUUCAUUCCAUGAAGAUCUAUGGAGGUCCCUCCAUUUCUAUGAGAAGAAGGUGUUUAUAUAUUGUAUAUGAUAAAAUGGUCAGGGACAAGGAAU
RNAcentral lists this long non-coding RNA (450 nucleotides) under Capsicum annuum. Its description in RNAcentral is "long non-coding RNA (CANN_LNC005709)". The record is from RNAcentral. Lineage: Eukaryota; Viridiplantae; Streptophyta; Magnoliopsida; Solanales; Solanaceae.